RNAcentral lists this long non-coding RNA (208 nucleotides) under Ananas comosus (pineapple). Its description in RNAcentral is "long non-coding RNA (ACOM_LNC039764)". The record is from RNAcentral. Lineage: Eukaryota; Viridiplantae; Streptophyta; Magnoliopsida; Poales; Bromeliaceae.
GGAUUAUUUUGAUACAUAUUGUCACUGAAAAAUUGAAUACUUUACAAUGGUAUCUGGAAUAUCUGGUAACAUGGAUAUUAGAUCAAAUAUAAUUUUAUCUGGAAUAUCUGGUAAUAUGGAUAUUAGACCAAAUAUAAUUUUAUCGUUACAAGCUAAUUUUUAGUUUUGUUGUUAUGAAAAACAAAAAAAAAAUUAAUAAAACUGCUUC